GGGACACAGUCUAGAUGCAAAGCAUUUAAACCUAAGUCCAAGUCUACUAUCUGAAUGUAAAUUGAAUCCUGUACUCUCCUCAUGCCCAAAACUCUCUGUGUGGGGUCAGGGGGCUCUGGGAGCUGGUUGGGUUUGUUGGAAGGUGCCCUGUCCUGUGUUUGCUCUACAUCCUGUGCCAGGGAGAUGGGGAGCAUGAGGACAUUCCAGACCUGCUGGAGCAAGACAAACUGCAGCACUGUCACAGAGCUGCUGUGAGUUAGGGCUGGAAGCUAGGAACAACACAGUAGAGACAAGAAGGAAGCCUGUGAUGUGCAGGGGGAGGCCAUGAGCCUGCCUGCUCAGGAGCUGCCUGGUCCCACAGGAACACGGUCCCACUGAGCAGCACCUUGCUGCAAUGGCUUGUAUGAUUUCACUGUCUCUGCUGCACACUGGAGCAUUCCAGAAAUGGAGGAAGCAUUAAAGUUGUUUGGGUGCAAGCAGCACGCUGGCCCUACUGGGAUUCAAGCAUCUCCUAGCAACCAAGAGGGGCUGGCUAUCCCCAGAACACUGUGCUUGUUUUGAGGAGCCACGCUGGAGCUGAGCUCUAGAUAGAAGGCCAAAGAAAAAAAUCAAAUCCUGGGAUGGGGUUAUUAUAGACCCAUCUUUUCCACAGGGUACAGUAACU
This is a long non-coding RNA of Vidua chalybeata, 664 nucleotides long. RefSeq lists it as uncharacterized. Lineage: Eukaryota; Metazoa; Chordata; Aves; Passeriformes; Viduidae. The transcript is spliced from 4 exons. The record is from RefSeq and is a predicted model, not a curated record.